AAGAAAAGGCCACCUACAGGUCACCGCAGGAGAGAUGCUGAUGGGAACAAUCAUGGUCAACCUCUCCAGCCUUAUAACGAUGGACCAAAGCAAGCAGGUCUGCUCCAUCCUACAGCUCUGCUCCAUCCUACAGCUCUGCACCGAGGUCUGCUCCAUCCUACAGCUCUGCUCCAUCCAACAGCUCUGCACCGAGGUCUGCUCCAUCCAACAGCUCUGCACCGAGGUCUGCUCCAUCCUACAGCUCUGCACUGAGGUCUGCUCCAUCCUACAGCUCUGCACGGAGGUCUGCUCCAUCAUACAGCUGGUUCCAAGAAGCACUGAGGUUUGCUCCAUCAUACAGCUCUGCACUAAGGUCUGCUCCAUCAUACAGCUGUUCCAUGAAGCACUAAGGUCUGCUCCAUCCUACAGCUCUGCACCGAGGUCCACUCCAUCCUACAGCUCUGCACUGAGGUCCGCUCCAUCCUACAGCUCUGCACCGAGGUCUGCUCCAUCCUACAGCUCUGCUCCAUCCUACAGCUCUGCACUGAGGUCUGCUCCAUCCUACAGCUCUGCACCGAGGUCUGCUCCAUCCUACAGCUCUGCACUGAGGUCUGCUCCAUCCUACAGCUCUGCACGGAGGUCUGCUCCAUCAUACAGCUGGUUCCAAGAAGCACUGAGGUCUGCUCCAUCAUACAGCUGGUUCCAUGAAGCACUAAGGUCUGCUCCAUCAUACAGCUGGUUCCAUGAAGCACUGAGGUCUGCUCCAUCAUGCAGAGGUG
RNA transcript from Bufo bufo (common toad), 758 nucleotides. It is a transcript of the gene named keratin-associated protein 10-8-like, with no coding region annotated. The record is from RefSeq and is a predicted model, not a curated record. The transcript is spliced from 4 exons. NCBI's taxonomy places the organism in Eukaryota, Metazoa, Chordata, Amphibia, Anura, Bufonidae.